RNAcentral lists this ribosomal RNA (497 nucleotides) under uncultured bacterium. Its description in RNAcentral is "partial 16S ribosomal RNA". It matches the Rfam family "Bacterial small subunit ribosomal RNA", at positions 28 to 507 of the family's 1533-position model. The record is from RNAcentral.
GAUGAACGCUGGCGGCGUGCCUAAUACAUGCAAGUCGAGCGAACAGACGAGGAGCUUGCUCCUCUGACGUUAGCGGCGGACGGGUGAGUAACACGUGGAUAACCUACCUAUAAGACUGGGAUAACUUCGGGAAACCGGAGCUAAUACCGGAUAAUAUAUUGAACCGCAUGGUUCAAUAGUGAAAGACGGUUUUGCUGUCACUUAUAGAUGGAUCCGCGCCGCAUUAGCUAGUUGGUAAGGUAACGGCUUACCAAGGCAACGAUGCGUAGCCGACCUGAGAGAGUGAUCGGCCACACUGGAGCUGAGACACGGUCCAGGCUCCUACGGGAGGCAGCAGUAGGGAAUCUUCCGCAAUGGGCGAGAGCUUGACGGAGCAACGCCGCGUGAGUGAUGAAGGUCUUCGGAUCGUAAAACUCUGUUAUUAGGGAAGAACAAAUGUGUAAGUAACUAUGCACGUCUUGACGGUACCUAAUCAGAAAGCCACGGCUAACUACGUG